UUUUCCUCAAGAUAGCUGGAGCCUCCGAACAAGUUCUAUCGAGUAAAGCCAAUGAUUAGAGGCAUUAGUGGGCACAACACCCUCGACCUAUUCUCAAACUUUAAAUAGGUAGGACGACGCAACUACUUUGUUGAGCCAUGCUACGGAAUUGAGAGCUCCAAGUACACCAUUUGUUGUAAGCAAAACUGGCGAUGCGGGAUGAAUCG
This 206-nucleotide non-coding RNA is filed under the name Cucumis melo (muskmelon). RNAcentral's name for it is "Eukaryotic large subunit ribosomal RNA". It matches the Rfam family "Eukaryotic large subunit ribosomal RNA", at positions 967 to 1170 of the family's 3401-position model. Lineage: Eukaryota; Viridiplantae; Streptophyta; Magnoliopsida; Cucurbitales; Cucurbitaceae. The record is from Rfam by way of RNAcentral. RNAcentral also lists the same sequence under 1 other name.